Myotis davidii is the source of this 152-nucleotide long non-coding RNA. RefSeq lists it as uncharacterized. NCBI's taxonomy places the organism in Eukaryota, Metazoa, Chordata, Mammalia, Chiroptera, Vespertilionidae. The transcript is spliced from 3 exons. The record is from RefSeq and is a predicted model, not a curated record.
CUAGACCCUGGGAGGCCAGGGGACUGUCAGCAGGGGUGAGGAGCAGAGGGUGCAGACACAGGAGCAUCCUGGUUGGCAGGCUGACAUCUUCAAGUGGGACCAGAAGACACCCCAACUCAGGGAGACGGAGCUGUCAUCACACGCUGUACAAA